CGGAAAGCCUGACGCAGCGACGCCGCGUGCGGGAGAAGGCCUUCGGGUUGUAAACCGCUUUCAGGAGGGACGAAGCCACUCGGGUUAAUACCCCAGAGGGUGACGGUACCUCCAGAAGAAGCCCCGGCUAACUACGUGCCAGCAGCCGCGGUAAUACGUAGGGGGCAAGCGUUGUCCGGAUUUAUUGGGCGUAAAGCGCGUGUAGGCGGCCAGGUAGGUCCGGUGUGAAAACUCGAGGCUUAACCUCGAGAUGUCAUCGGAAACUAUUUGGCUAGAGUCCGGAAGAGGAGAGUGGAAUUCCUGGUGUAGCGGUGAAAUGCGCAGAUAUCAGGAAGAACACCUAUGGCGAAAGCAGCUCUCUGGGACGGUACUGACGCUGAGACGCGAAAGCGUGGGGAGCGAACAGGAUUAGAUACCCUGGUAGUCCACGCCGUAAACGAUGGGUGCUAGGUGUGGGCGGUGUCGACUCCGUCCGUGCCGAAGCUAACGCAUUAAGCACCCCGCCUGGGGAGUACGGCCGCAAGGCUA
This 528-nucleotide ribosomal RNA is filed under the name uncultured Actinomycetes bacterium. RNAcentral describes it as "bacterial SSU rRNA". It matches the Rfam family "Bacterial small subunit ribosomal RNA", at positions 376 to 896 of the family's 1533-position model. Lineage: Bacteria; Bacillati; Actinomycetota; Actinomycetes. The record is from RNAcentral.